UUGCUCCUUGGGUGGCGAGUGGCGGACGGGUGAGGAAUACAUCGGAAUCUGCCUAUUUGUGGGGGAUAACGUAGGGAAACUUACGCUAAUACCGCAUACGACCUACGGGUGAAAGCCGGGGACCUUCGGGCCUGGCGCAGAUAGAUGAGCCGAUGUCGGAUUAGCUAGUUGGCGGGGUAAAGGCCCACCAAGGCGACGAUCCGUAGCUGGUCUGAGAGGAUGAUCAGCCACACUGGAACUGAGACACGGUCCAGACUCCUACGGGAGGCAGCAGUGGGGAAUAUUGGACAAUGGGCGCAAGCCUGAUCCAGCCAUGCCGCGUGGGUGAAGAAGGCCUUCGGGUUGUAAAGCCCUUUUGUUGGGAAAGAAAAGCAGUCGGUUAAUACCCGAUUGUUCUGACGGUACCCAAAGAAUAAGCACCGGCUAACUUCGUGCCAGCAGCCGCGGUAAUACGAAGGGUGCAAGCGUUACUCGGAAUUACUGGGCGUAAAGCGUGCGUAGGUGGUUUGUUAAGUCUGAUGUGAAAGCCCUGGGCUCAACCUGGGAAUUGCAUUGGAUACUGGCAGGCUAGAGUGCGGUAGAGGGUAGUGGAAUUCCCGG
This 600-nucleotide ribosomal RNA is filed under the name Luteimonas terrae. Its description in RNAcentral is "bacterial SSU rRNA". It matches the Rfam family "Bacterial small subunit ribosomal RNA", at positions 80 to 673 of the family's 1533-position model. The record is from RNAcentral. Lineage: Bacteria; Pseudomonadati; Pseudomonadota; Gammaproteobacteria; Lysobacterales; Lysobacteraceae.